Molecule: non-coding RNA, 45 nt
Filed under: Schistosoma mansoni
Lineage: Eukaryota; Metazoa; Platyhelminthes; Trematoda; Strigeidida; Schistosomatidae
Source: RNAcentral
AUCCGGCUGACGAGUUCCGAAUAAGACGAAAUGUGAGUCUUGGAU